AGAGCACCUGCCUUACAAGCAGGGGGUCGGCGGUUCGAAUCCGUCAGCGCCCACGA
This 56-nucleotide transfer RNA is filed under the name Porphyromonadaceae bacterium. Its description in RNAcentral is "tRNA-Ser". It matches the Rfam family "tRNA", at positions 20 to 71 of the family's 71-position model. Rfam says of the family: Transfer RNA (tRNA) molecules are approximately 80 nucleotides in length. Their secondary structure includes four short double-helical elements and three loops (D, anti-codon, and T loops). Further hydrogen bonds mediate the characteristic L-shaped molecular structure. tRNAs have two regions of fundamental functional importance: the anti-codon, which is responsible for specific mRNA codon recognition, and the 3' end, to which the tRNAs corresponding amino acid is attached (by aminoacyl-tRNA synthetases). tRNAs cope with the degeneracy of the genetic code in two manners: having more than one tRNA (with a specific anti-codon) for a particular amino acid; and 'wobble' base-pairing, i.e. permitting non-standard base-pairing at the 3rd anti-codon position. The record is from RNAcentral. Lineage: Bacteria; Pseudomonadati; Bacteroidota; Bacteroidia; Bacteroidales; Porphyromonadaceae.